RNAcentral lists this ribosomal RNA (381 nucleotides) under uncultured bacterium. RNAcentral's name for it is "bacterial SSU rRNA". It matches the Rfam family "Bacterial small subunit ribosomal RNA", at positions 30 to 407 of the family's 1533-position model. The record is from RNAcentral.
AUUGAACGCUGGCGGCAUGCCUUACACAUGCAAGUCGAACGGCAGGCGGACCUUCGGGUGCCGGCGAGUGGCGAACGGGUGAGUAAUAUAUCGGAACGUACCUUUCGAGUGGGGGAUAACGUAGCGAAAGUUACGCUAAUACCGCAUAUUCUGUGAGCGAGGAAAGCAGGGGAUCGCAAGACCUUGCGCUGAUUGAGCGGCCGAUAUCAGAUUAGCUAGUUGGUGAGGUAAAGGCUCGACCAAGGCGACGGAUCUGUAGCGGGUCUGAGAGGAUGAUCCGCCACACUGGAACUGAGACACGGUCCAGGACUCCUACGGGAGGCAGCAGUGGGGAAUUUUGGACAAUGGGCGCAAGCCUGAUCCAGCCAUGCCGCGUGAGUG